GCCGGAUUAGCUCAGCUGGUAGAGCAACUGAUUUGUAAUCAGUAGGUCGGGGGUUCGAAUCCCUCAUCCGGCACCA
RNAcentral lists this transfer RNA (76 nucleotides) under Alphaproteobacteria bacterium. Its description in RNAcentral is "tRNA-Thr". It matches the Rfam family "tRNA". Rfam says of the family: Transfer RNA (tRNA) molecules are approximately 80 nucleotides in length. Their secondary structure includes four short double-helical elements and three loops (D, anti-codon, and T loops). Lineage: Bacteria; Pseudomonadati; Pseudomonadota; Alphaproteobacteria. The record is from RNAcentral.